UUGGUCAGAAGUUAUUCUCUGCGUGUGGAAUAGAAGUUUUACACGUUUUUCUGAGAUAAAAGUAAAGAUGCUUUUUGUGUUUUCCUUUUGAGCCGGGUGUUUCAAGUGAACUCAUUCCUUCUGGGUUAAAUGCAGCCAGCGAGUUUGACGGUGGAUUUUGAUGGUGAAUGUGACGAAGGAGAGAAAGAUGACAACUGUAACAACUGUAAUCAGUAACCAGAACCAUGGUCUCGUUUAUUUCCUGGAGGGAGUGAUAGUCAAACUCGGACCUGCGUCAGCGAUCCCGAACCUGCUCGUGCCCGGCUCGGACUUGCGUCAACGUUCCCGAACCUGCUCGUGCCUCGCCCGGAUCUGAUGUGUCUCAACUCGGCAAGACGGGAUGUAACGUUACACAGAUAAGCCCACGUUUACCGUUAAGGACCCGCAUUUCUCAGUGUUUCAUUAAGACGUCCAUAAGUCAGUCACGUAAGCUUGUGUACUGAAAGGUGACAAUAAGUUUGAACACUACAAGAGAGACUGUGCAACCUUAAUAAUAAUAACUGUGGUUUAAAUUGUGUAAGGGGAAUUUAUUUAUUUUGUCUAUUGAAGAAAGUAAGUGAUAACUUGAAAAAGGGAGAAUUAUUUGUACACAUUAAGCAAGCCAAUAUUUUUCAGGGUUUUUUUUUGUGAAGUUUUUUAUUAUUUUCUAAGCACCAAGCCUUUACAAAGUUUGUUUCAAUUGAAGGAUUGAUCAAAGGACAUUGACCUAAUUUAGUUUGAUUA
Molecule: non-coding RNA, 762 nt
Organism: Pimephales promelas (fathead minnow)
Lineage: Eukaryota; Metazoa; Chordata; Actinopteri; Cypriniformes; Leuciscidae
Source: RefSeq, a predicted model, not a curated record